Molecule: long non-coding RNA, 275 nt
Organism: Prosopis cineraria
Lineage: Eukaryota; Viridiplantae; Streptophyta; Magnoliopsida; Fabales; Fabaceae
Exons: 3
Source: RefSeq, a predicted model, not a curated record
AAUAUCAAGCAUGCUUAUAACAUCACGAGAAUCGACUGGCAAGGAGAUCCAUGCAUGCCAAGAGAUUAUAGAUGGGAAGGUCUGAAUUGCAACUCUGACAACAUUCCAAGAGUGACUUCGUUGAACUUGAGCUCAUGCAACCUGAUGGGAGAGAUAAAUUCUUCAUUUUCCAAACUCAUGGAGUUGGAGUCCUUUACCUUGUCAGGGAACAAUCUCACUGGUUCAAUUCCCAAGGCUUUAAGGGAGAAGAAUGGCACUACUUUGAUGUUAAGGUU